Molecule: long non-coding RNA, 801 nt
Organism: Dioscorea cayenensis subsp. rotundata (Guinea yam)
Lineage: Eukaryota; Viridiplantae; Streptophyta; Magnoliopsida; Dioscoreales; Dioscoreaceae
Exons: 3
Source: RefSeq, a predicted model, not a curated record
UGAAAAUUUCCAACAUCUUUUCAAGCCGGUUUAACACAACCGGCUCAAUAAGAUAAUAAUAAUAAUAACUAAAGCACUCCACAUCUCACUCCCCUCAUUCCUUUCUCUCUCUCUCUCUCUCUCCGUGAUUCAUGGGUUCAACUCCGGCGUCACGGGAAGCCAGCGAGCGAUUGUUGGGAAAUGACGCCAUGGAGGUACGAAUCGGAGAAGAAGAAGCCAUGAUCCAGGUUGAGAGAUUGGAAUGGCGAUCGGAGACCGGAGAGGCGAUCUUGAAAUGAAUCAGCUUGGAAAUCCCCAAGGCCUCCAUUGUUGGCAUCAUCGGCCCUAGCGGCAGCUAUAAGUCCUCUUUUCUCCCCGCUCUUAACUGCCUCUAGGAACCCUCCACCGGUGUUGUGUUCUCGAUGGCGAUGACAUCCGCCGCCUUGAUGUUCUUUCCCUCCGCCGCCACCUUGAUGUUCUUGCUCGACACAUCCAUCAACCUUCGCCUGGCCGACGCACCCCUAAAAACCCCAUCAACGAUCUUUGCCCACACUAGAAUGAUGAUAUCCAUCAAUUCAGGUGCAUUUAAAUUGGUUGAUGAAAUGGUUAAGACAAUAGAGAAAGUGUUAAUAUUUAUAUCGAUAAGGAAUGUGGAACAAGUGAAGUUAUUGGAGUGAAUAUCUUGGUUAAUUUUGAUAAAUCCACUGUUUGAGGUACUCAUUUUGGUCAGCAAUACAUGUGGGUGAAGAGAGAUGCAGAACCAUGACAUGUCUUCAAUUUCGUCUUAACUUAUUCAAUUUUAUGCUUUCUGUAAGUAUUGGA